CAGUAGAGUAUAUUAAAGUUGUUGCGGUUAAAAAGCUCGUAGUUGGAUUUCUGCCGAGGACGACCGGUCCGCCCUCUGGGAGAGUAUCUGGCUUGGCCUGGCCAAUUUCUUGGAGAGCGUAGCUGCGCUUGACUCUGCGGUGCGGCAUCCAUGACUUUUACUUUGAGGACAUGAGAGUGUUUCAAGCAGGCUUAAGCCUUGAAUACAUUAGCAUGGAAUAAUAAGAUGGGACAUCGGUUCUAUUUUGUUGGCCUCUAGGUUUGAGGUAACGAUGAAUAUGGAUAGUUGGGGGCAUUCGUAUUUAAUUGUCAGAGGUGAUAUUCUUGGAUUUGUUCAAGACGGACUACUGCGAAAGCAUUUGCCAAGGAUGGUUUCAUUGA
RNAcentral lists this ribosomal RNA (380 nucleotides) under uncultured eukaryote. RNAcentral describes it as "partial 18S ribosomal RNA". It matches the Rfam family "Eukaryotic small subunit ribosomal RNA", at positions 592 to 976 of the family's 1831-position model. The record is from RNAcentral.